GUUGUAGCGUUUUCUUUCCUUUUAUUCAUUUCAUUUAUGUUGUAACUUAAUUUCCUUGUUUUCUAAGGCUGAAUAAUAUUCCACAGUAUAUACCCACCCAUUUUGUUUGCCAUUCAUCCGUGGAUAGACACUUGGGUACCUUCUGCCUUUUGGCCAGACAUAGAAGUCCCUUCUCCUCCUUCACAUCAUUCCUAGAAUUUUUAUGCCAAACAAACAUACAAUUCACAGCUAACGGAUGUUCUCCACGGAUUUUUCUCUAAUACAUCAAAUCUCUAUUUGACUCAUUAAGAAAAGGGAAUUCGCUGUUGUUGGGAGCCCAAUGUCUGUUUCAUUUAGUGUCUGUGUCUGGGAGCAGUGGCCUCCUGAAUAUCAACUCAGAGCCAGAGCCAAGACAUUCAUUUGUGAAGCUCAAGUAUUGAUUUGGUGACACCAUUCUCUUCCCCUGAUGCUAUUCCUAUCAACCCAAAUUAUCUGUGUGAAUAUAGGAAUCAUUUUUCCACUGUACCCAGCAGCUGGUGACAAGCGGAUUGCUGAUAAGCUACGACAGAGAUGAGCAGUUGGCUGCUCCUGGGCGGGUGAGGCCUUGGCUGCCAGAGUGUUGCUGGGCAAAGGCAUCUGUAGCCCUGAAGCCCAGGGGCGGACCCCCACCUGGAUUCUGGAUUCAGAGCUUCAUCCUCAUUGCAGAGACCCACAAGAGGCCUCAGGGAAGAGAACAGUACCUGAGCUUAUGAGCGAACUAUAAUAAAGAAUUAGAUAAAGACAUUAC
RNAcentral lists this long non-coding RNA (766 nucleotides) under Marmota monax (woodchuck). The record is from RNAcentral. Lineage: Eukaryota; Metazoa; Chordata; Mammalia; Rodentia; Sciuridae.